Long non-coding RNA from Syzygium oleosum, 880 nucleotides. RefSeq lists it as uncharacterized. The transcript is spliced from 2 exons. The record is from RefSeq and is a predicted model, not a curated record. NCBI's taxonomy places the organism in Eukaryota, Viridiplantae, Streptophyta, Magnoliopsida, Myrtales, Myrtaceae.
UGUGUUGAAAAGGAAAAAAUGCCCGUAGAAAAGGGGCUUGUAAAAUACACUUAUGUAAUAGAAGAAGUAGUGUAUUGCAAAGUUGUUUUUCCUUACUGCUUGUCUGGGUAUUUAUUGUAUGCUUCCGCAUUCUCUUAAUGAAAAGAUAAAAGAAACGGGACGGCGACGCGCCUAAAAUGUCGUAUUAAUAACCCCGAGGUUAGGAUGUGACAUUUUUAUAACUUAUCGAUUAGAAAACUAGUUGGAUAAUGUUUCUAUCUUAUUAAAGAUCGAGGAAAACAUGACUCUGUUGAGAUACUUGAAUAAUAUUUUUAUUUCAAGUGUUAUGAUCCAUUUGCUACUCGCACAUCAAUGAAUGUGCUUCAAUUCAUGGUAUUUACUCGACUCUUGAACCACCAUGGAAAUUGCUUCUCAUGCCUUUCUCCUACCUCUCUCUAUGGAUCUCCCUAGUCCCUUUUGAGUUCCCCCAUAUGCAUGCCAUAGUUUGCCCAAACAACAAACAUUUACUUAGCAGAAUGAACAAAACAACCCAUCUUUUACACUUGAAAAAUAUCAAAUUUGAGUGGUCUCACUCUCGAAAAUUUCUCGACAUAUUAUUUUAGCCUACGCAAGAACCUCUCAAUUGAAUGCACAGACCGAAAUUGCACGCUUUGGUAACAAAUUUGCAAAGUGUAGAAACAACUUUACCUCUAAUACGAAGAACACGUCCAAUCUGUGGAAGAUUUGCAAUUGCAUCAUCUUUCUUCUCCUCUUUGAAUAUAUUCCCUCAGAACAGUUCACUUGUCCUCUCAGGAGCUUUUGUGCCCCGCACCAAUUCAAAAACAUACAUCUUUUCACUUUUAACUUUAAGCCAAAUAUCCUAUGGGUUUUGUCUUCUUCU